GAUGAACGCUGGCGGCGUGCCUAAUACAUGCCAGUCGAGCGAACGGACGAGAAGCUUGCUUUUCUGAUGUUAGCGGCGGACGGGUGGGUAACACGUGGAUAACCUACCUAUAAGACUGGGAUAACUUCGGGAAACCGGAGCUAAUACCGGAUAAUAUUUUGAACCGCAUGGUUCAAAAGUGAAAGACGGUCUUGCUGUCACUUAUAGAUGGAUCCGCGCUGCAUUAGCUAGUUGGUAAGGUAACGGCUUACCAAGGCAACGAUGCAUAGCCGACCUGAGAGGGUGAUCGGCCACACUGGAACUGAGACACGGUCCAGACUCCUACGGGAGGCAGCAGUAGGGAAUCUUCCGCAAUGGGCGAAAGCCUGACGGAGCAACGCCGCGUGAGUGAUGAAGGUCUUCGGGUCGUAAAACUCUGUUAUUAGGGAAGAACAUAUGUGUAAGUAACUGUGCACAUCUUGACGGUACCUAAUCAGAAAGCCACGGCUAACUACGUG
Molecule: ribosomal RNA, 497 nt
Filed under: uncultured bacterium
Lineage: Bacteria
Description: partial 16S ribosomal RNA
Rfam family: Bacterial small subunit ribosomal RNA
Source: RNAcentral